UUUCAGGAUGAAGAUCUUCUACCAAGUAAAUAUUUUGAAAUAGACUUUCCAAUGAUCGUCACGAGAAAGCUGCAUAGCAUCAAAUUGAAACCUCUUCUUUCAAAACCCAUUUUAGACUUACAUUCAGAGGACACACUUCAAAUGGACGGGCACACAUUGGAUUCAACGAGAUAUGCCAUCAUUGGAGCUGAUCUCCGAGAUAUUCCUGAACUGGAAGAGAAACUAAAGAAAUGUAACAUGAAUACACAGUGAGACUUUUUUAUUAGCCUCUUACAUUUGUGAUUUCCUGCUAAUAUGAAAUAAGGCUGGUUGGAAGUACAGGGUGAUACUCGUACCAUUUUGUUUCCCUGUAAUCUUUAUCAUUGUCAUUGCUAUUAAGCUUAGUUUUCUGAACUUUUUUAGAAGCAAGCUUCCUUGAGUCUGCUUUCCUAUGAGAAUCACCUGUGUUGCUUUUGUAAAAUAUGCCCUAAUAUUAAUACCUAAUGUUAUAGAGUUGGAGGGAAGAUGGUUAUAUGCACAGAAACAUAUAAUUGUGACAUUAAAGAAAGGAUUGGCAUCCUGAAUACAUAAAA
RNAcentral lists this long non-coding RNA (572 nucleotides) under Sus scrofa (pig). RNAcentral's name for it is "lncRNA (ENSSSCG00030037445.1)". The record is from RNAcentral. Lineage: Eukaryota; Metazoa; Chordata; Mammalia; Artiodactyla; Suidae.